RNAcentral lists this long non-coding RNA (4142 nucleotides) under Musa acuminata (dwarf banana). RNAcentral describes it as "long non-coding RNA (MACU_LNC001820)". The record is from RNAcentral. Lineage: Eukaryota; Viridiplantae; Streptophyta; Magnoliopsida; Zingiberales; Musaceae.
AAUUAUGUUAUUGAAAUCAUGUCAAAUUAGGCCUUUAGGCCGAUUUGAUUAAUUAGUUGGACCAAUCAAACCAGAGUUUAAUAUUUUUAAAUUAAAAUUGGUUUGAUUGAAUCUGAAUCGAUAAACCACACCAAAAAAGAAUGGGAAAAAAUCAUUGAUGUUCUAGUUAACCCGAUGUGGUUCGGACCCAUGUGCUUUGGGUUGCUUGGGGUGCCUCCGAGGUGUAAACAUCACGCUCUCUCGAGACGCCACCUGCACAAAGACCAAGGUCAAGAGAUAUUUCUCAAGUUUAUAACCUAAGAUAGUGAGUAUGGAUGUGAAUAGUAAAAAAGUGAUCCUCCUUUUCAUUGUGUUGAAAAUGAGCUUUUAUAUCUAGUCGUAAAAGGACAAAAUAUUUUAUGAAAUAUUGUACGGGGAGGCAACCUCUAAUCGCCUCCAACAAUCUCCCCUAGGCCUUUUAUCCACACAAGCAACAAGAGGGAACAAUCUAUAACCGUCUGUCUAGGAUCCGUAUCCACAUGGGCGAAUAGGAGGGUAGUCUUGGUCUUUGGCUUCUACAUGGACACCAUGUAGAAGCCAUGUGUCGAGUGAUUACUGGCUGAUGAUGCUCUUCUUAUCAUUUGUCCACCUCUCCCCUCUCCCCUCAAGGUAUUUUGUUAGGUUUCUCGACCACCACGCCUCAAGCAGAGGAGGGGUUCGAGUUUUCCUAUCGCCACGCUUCAAACGAGGGAGGGGGUAGUUUCUCAACCUCCACACUUCAUGUAGAGGGGAUUGGGAUUUCCCGACCUCCAUAUCUCAGGUGGAGUUAGGGGUCGAGUUUCCCAAUCUCUAGACCUUGGGUGGAGGAGAGACCCGACCUCCACAUCUUAGGUGGAGGAGGGACUUGACCUCCAUGAUUCCUGAUUUUUAUACCUCAAGUAAAGUUAGGGGUCAGGUUUCCCAACCUCCACGCCUCGGGUGGACAAGGGGGUCGAGUUUCUAAACCUCCCUAGCUCAGUAAGGACUGCAGCGAGGGAUGCGAGCGUUAUUGGCGGCGAUCCAUCACCAACUUGCCCCUCUUCUUCUGCUUAUCGUCGAGGUAGGCCACGAGAGGAGCCGAGGCGGACUACAAGUAGUGCAAAGGUGGUCUCCUCUUUGCUUGUCUCAACGACGAUGAGUACUACUCUCCACAACCAUUGAAGUGGAAUGUGCUAUGUAUAGAAAUGGACUAUCAUUAGGGUUCCAAACAAAUAAGAUAACUACUUUUUUACUUUCAUCGAAAAAUAUUAGAAUUAUCGAUUGGUGAAUCAGCAUGGCUAGGUCCACGGGUCGAUGUUGGGAGUUUUCUAUUGGCUGAACUGGAUGCGAAGGUAGGUCGGGCCUUUGCGACGGGGUAUUGGUCAAUGUUUCUUGGUCCGAGCACCGUUUGCGUCACUCGCGUGGAUUAAAUGUCAAGAGAAGGUUGUCGGAGACGGUUAGAGGUUGCCUCCUCGUAGAAUAUUCCAUAAAAUAUUUCAUCCCUUUUACGACAUAGUAUAAAAGCUCAUCAACGCAAUGAAAAGGGAGGUCACUUUUUGACCACUCACAUUCAAGAUUAUUUUUCGAUCACUCGCGUCCACACUCACUUAUCUCGGGUUACUAACUUAGGUGUUGGAGGAAUCGAGUCAAAAAACCUCCCCCGAUCUCAUUCUUUAUGCAUAUGACACCUCGAGAACUCGAUGUUUUCAUGUCAAAGGUACCCUGGGCAAUCCUACGCACAUGAGUCUAGACCACGUCAAGUUGACCAGGACAUCAACGACUUCUUCCCAUAACAAAAAUCAAACUAUUAAUAAAUCACUUCAAACCAAACCGAUUCGAUUUGGUUCUUUGAUUUGGUUAGAACACCCCACUAAAAACUUAAACAACAUAAUAAGUCUAUUAUCAUUGAUUUGGAUUAAUGGUUCAAGCUUAACCAAGUUAAUAGUUAGCUCAAACCUAAUAAGUUGGAUUCAUUAAUUGGAUUAUUUUUUAUUCAUAUUGAUCAUAACAUUUUAAAGAGCUCUUAUAUUUAUUUUUUAUGAUAUUUUAUGUUUUCCCUCUCAAGAAUCAUAUGAUAUUUUAUGUUCUCUUUUAUUCUUUCAUCUGUUUGCCUUUUCUCAUCAUAUUUUUAAUCACUAUCCUUUUAAUAAAUCAUUUUUUAUAUUCUAUUACCAACUCACACUUUUUUUAUGUUAUCAGAGAAAAAUGUCAUUAACGUCUUGAUCAACCCGACGUGGUCCAAACCUAUAUGUGCAAGAAUAUUCAAGGUGCCUCCAACGUGAAAACAUCGUGCUUUUGAGAUGGAUUCGAGAUGGAUUUUGAUAUUGCUCUAAUGUGUUGAGCUCUUAAGGUACCAUCUACACUAAUAUUAAGGUCGAGAGAGGUUUCUCGACUUGAUCCCUUCGACUCUCAAGUUAGUAAUCCAAGAUCUCCAAACGUGAGUUCAAGUAAUUCAAAAGGAAUCGAUCAUUCUUCUAUUUCCCUAUUUAAAAUAUAUUUUUAUAUCUUAAAGGAGAAAAAAAAAGUUUGUGAUAUCAUUCUUUGUCAUAAAGGAAAAAAAAGAUUUAAAAUUAUCUUCAUUGUCAUAAAAGAAAAGAAUAAAGUUUAAAAUUACCUUCCUCGUUAUAAAGAAAGAUAAUAAAGUUUGUGAUUAUCUUUCUUAUCAUAAUAAAUGAAAAAAAGAUUUGUUUUUCUUUAUUAGGCUAAUGACUUGAAUGACACAUGAGGGUUGUAUCAACUAUUAGAUUUUUUUUUUUAUCAGAUAUCAACAUAUUUUUCCAUCAACCAUUCCAGAGUUUAUAUUCUUUUUUUAGUUUGGUUAUCAAAUUUCAUGAGAUGGCGACAAAGAAGCAUUUCACAACGAUAUCUUUUAUUGUAUAUAUUUCUUAUUACAUCUCAUGUCCUUCUGCACAAACUCCAUCGCCAGCUCAAUAAAAUAAUGAAUCAUUUAUGCACUCAGCCUUGUCGUCUUUGCAUGCUCAUCAGCAUCAAAUCCACUUCCUAUGUGUAAAGUUGAAAGCGUAUAGUGCCAUAAAAGUAACCCAACCCUUCUCUUUCAAGCUUUUUCCCUUUGCGUUGGACUCCAAAAUUCAUAUGAUUCACGCAACUCAAUGACAUCCUUUUACGGUUCAUUUCCUCCUUUAAUUCCAUCCGUUUCACAACUCAUGAAUAUAAAAUAUUUGAAGAUUCUGUGAAAUCUGAAGCAUUAGAAAUACAAACAAAUUGUAAAUUUUUCUUACACUCUCUCUUAUAGAAAAUAUAGUCUUAAAAUAUUCCAUCUCCUCAGUACAUAUUUUGUGUACUAACCUCAAUAGGUCGCUUUGUAGAGCUUUCAAGUCUUAAUAUCAUUUUUAUUGGACGAGUAAAAGAUUUAUUCUUCUAUCUAAUUCCUUCUACUUUUUCAUGUUUCCUUUACUCAUCUUCCACUCACCAUCACUGUCUCCAAGGUUAGCUUUAUUCUACACUUUCCCUAUGUCAUCUCCUCUUGCAUUAUUACAUCAACUUGAGAAGGAGAAUGCUCCUUCUCAUGUUUAAUGUACAUUUCACAAAAUUAUACUUCGAUCCUUGCCAUUUAUUUCCAUUGGUCAUCUUGACAAAUAAUUUUUAAAGAUGAUUUUUUAUGUUCAGUUAAAUUAUUCUUCAUUUUCAUAUUAAUAUAUUUUUAGUAAGGCCUACACAUAAUAUAACAAAAAAUAGAGGUGUCUAAUUAUAAAUGACCAUAGGACGAGGGUCGAUUAUGUUAAGUGUAAGGACUGAAACGUAAAGACAAAGGAAUAAAGAAAACUUCAAGGUUCGAUAUGUAAAACUUACCAAACCGCACCCAUAUAUGCCGAGGACUCGACUUCGCCGUCUUCCUCACCCUUCUGCGGAGACAAUGGAGGAUGGAAUGAGGACAAGGAGCUUCAGGGACGAGGACUACAGCAACAGGAGGGCGUUCCUGCGGAGCUACCCGCUUCAGUGGGGAGAACAGAAGGAAGAAGAGGAAAGGGAGGGUUACCAGAAGGAAGCAGCGGCGUCGCGGGAGCACCAGGCCUCUCUCAAGACCAGGCUUGCAGUUGUGCUACAGUGGGGUGGGGCGACGCUCCUGCUCCUCAAGAGGUGGAAGAGGAAGAUUGGGUGUUACUCUGUGGCUUGCGGUCCUUUUG